Long non-coding RNA from Pelmatolapia mariae (spotted tilapia), 1478 nucleotides. RefSeq lists it as uncharacterized. The transcript is spliced from 6 exons. Lineage: Eukaryota; Metazoa; Chordata; Actinopteri; Cichliformes; Cichlidae. The record is from RefSeq and is a predicted model, not a curated record.
CGGUGAGUGAGCAGAUUUCACAACGCAUCUGAGUGGAGGAAGACAAGGUGUGGGCCUCUCUCCACCUCUCCUUUUCAUCUGUCCUUCCUCCUUUUCUUUACCUGAGCAGUUUGUGGUCCCGUUAUUUAUAUGUCCAUCCAUCCAUCUGUCUAUCGGUGCGGAUCCGCAUUCAUCAAAAGUCGACACCUGGACUCAUCAUCCAAACCCUGCCAUAGCCACGCUUCUGAAUUCUGGUCAGCUGCUGCUUAAUCCUUUUCAUGCAAACUGCCAUUCACACCUGCCUGCCAACCUGCGCACCCGUAAAGGACUCAGUACUCGCCCGGACCUCGCCUCACCUCCACCACCAGCUUAUCCCCGCCUGCAAACACUGAGAAGAAAUGUUGCUAUAAAGAGAAGCCUUUUGUUGCUAAGCAGCAGCGAUAUUGUACAAGAGUGCAUCCCCGCUGUACUGGCUGUUGCUGGUGUUAUGUACAUCAAAGGUAACCCAACACCUGAUCCCCAGGAAACAGAACAAAGAACAAAGCAUGGACCUUGAAACAAAGCAAAGGUAACAACUGUAGCAACUUUAAUACACUGAUGGUCCUUCAGGUAAGUUCAGAAGUCCACAGGUGUGCCACUGGGAUAGAAACUCCACGGAGUUUGACUGAAUGUCUGAUUGACAGCUGUGUUUCCCCAACUUCUUUUCUUAUCUUGUCUUCUACACACGUCCAUUUUGUCCCUCGCUUCUGACACCCCCAGACUCUUUGAUCACUCUGCAUGUUUGUACUGCACUGCAGAGAACGACUGAAGACUAUAGCCAGACUAGGAGAGAAAGAGAUGGAAAGGGGAGGAUAGAGAGAAAACAUUCCAUCUCUUUGUUUUUCUCUCUGUGGCAUCUUGCCUUGUGGGAGUGAGACUCUUUGAGGGGAAUUUGAGAGCUUAACACUGGUGUGUGAUUGAAUUUGUGUGAAUUUGCUUGUGUGUGUGUGCGCACACAGGAACCCAGGAGACCGCCAUAGACUCUCUCUUGUUGACUUCUAAAAGUCCUCCAGUGGCCUGAGACACGACGCUGUUCCACGUCCUCAACUAACCAAACAGAUGUGAGGACAAAAACACAAAGAAGAAAUCAAGAGGAAUAAAAAGAGGGCAGCUGGGAAGAAAAAAAAAAUUAAAUGUACCAGGAAGAAUUCAUUAGGGUUAGAUGUAGAAUACGAGUGAGACUCGGUGCAAGAGACGGAAAUAAAGACAAUUGACAACAGAGGUACAGGGGAUAAGAUAGAGGUACGAAGCUGAUAAAAGUAAAAGACGUUCAGAGGGAUAACAAGGAGACGUGCCAUUCAUCUGUCAAGGUGACAAAAAGUACAGCUGCCAGUUUCCUUCACUGAACAUGUCUUUGCAGAUUUAUUGACUUGUUGUCUUCAAGAGUUCAAAUUGCGGUUAACUGCUGAGUUUGAAGUGGCUUUGGCUGACACUGUAGACACCUUUUAGGUGAAGUAAAA